UAAGGAAUAUUGGUCAAUGGACGCAAGUCUGAACCAGCCAUGCCGCGUGGAGGAUGAAGGCCCUCUGGGUUGUAAACUUCUUUUAUAUGGGACGAAAAAGGGUCUUUCUAGAUCAACUGACGGUACCAUGUGAAUAAGCACCGGCUAACUCCGUGCCAGCAGCCGCGGUAAUACGGAGGGUGCAAGCGUUAUCCGGAUUUACUGGGUUUAAAGGGAGCGUAGGUGGGUCUGUAAGUCAGUGGUGAAAUCUCCGAGCUUAACUCGGAAACUGCCAUUGAUACUAUAGGUCUUGAAUAUUCUGGAGGUAAGCGGAAUAUGUCAUGUAGCGGUGAAAUGCUUAGAUAUGACAUAGAACACCGAUUGCGAAGGCAGCUUGCUACAGGAUUAUUGACACUGAGGCUCGAAAGCGUGGGGAUCAAACA
This 422-nucleotide ribosomal RNA is filed under the name uncultured bacterium. RNAcentral's name for it is "bacterial SSU rRNA". It matches the Rfam family "Bacterial small subunit ribosomal RNA", at positions 355 to 774 of the family's 1533-position model. The record is from RNAcentral.